CUUGAUACUAUGUUAAAACCAUUGAUUUGCUUGAUACAUUUUCGAUUCAUAUUUUUUGCAAAUUUAAAUGACUGAUUGUUGUUAAAAAAAGGGAAGAAUGAAUAUUGAAGUAAAUGUUGUACCUCAUUUCAUCAUUCAAAUCUUUGAAAAGAUUUAUUCCUCCUAAAGCUUAAAAAUAUUUAUUUGAAAAUCUGAUUUAAAGAGUCAAAUUCAUUCAAAA
RNAcentral lists this long non-coding RNA (220 nucleotides) under Elaeis guineensis (African oil palm). RNAcentral describes it as "long non-coding RNA (EGUI_LNC057398)". Lineage: Eukaryota; Viridiplantae; Streptophyta; Magnoliopsida; Arecales; Arecaceae. The record is from RNAcentral.